Molecule: long non-coding RNA, 728 nt
Organism: Suricata suricatta (meerkat)
Lineage: Eukaryota; Metazoa; Chordata; Mammalia; Carnivora; Herpestidae
Exons: 3
Source: RefSeq, a predicted model, not a curated record
GAGUUUUGUCGUCACCAAAGGAGAACCGGGAUGAGAGGUCGUGUUUAGAAAGACAGCGCCCAUGGCAGCGUGCAGGUGCACCAACAAAGACAGGAGUGUGGAGUCUCGGGAGACUAGUACUGUCCACGAGCGAGACACGAGAGUCUGAACUCAGGCGGAAGCCGUGGAUGGAGAGCAAGAGGGUGCCUUUCACCGGUGGAUCCCCGCGACCUGGAGAAUGGACUGGAUGUGGGUGGUCUCCUGAGCACCGGGAGCCCAGAGUGAAGCCUUGAGAUCUGGGAGGAAGCCAGGCAGCACUCUGCAAUUUUAAACAGGAUCUCACGAAGUGCCGGUCAAGUGUGGGCGGGCGCUGCCGCUUUGGGAAUCUCCACACACCCACCGAGAAUGGGAGUUGAAGGCAAGAAGCCUAGAAUGUUCUGGAGACCUCACAGCUCUUCAAUUCCAGAAGCAUGCCCGGAACCCACCCUCCUGAUUUUCCAGCAAGUUCUCUCACCUGGGCUUCAAGAUCCAGUGGAGGAGAAGGAAGGAAGAAUCUGCGUUAAUCAAUGCAUGCUGCGUUCUUUUUCCCGGGAACCUGACCUGCUGAAGUGUUUGCAUAUUCUCAGAUUGUGUGUGCGUGUGUGUGCACUAAUAAAAAUCAUUCACUGACUUGGGUCGAAAAGGCUUUCUCUGGGGCAAAUUGCUAUUUACCCUGACGCCUAAACAAAAUAUAGUUUCAGGCAAUUAAA